RNAcentral lists this ribosomal RNA (472 nucleotides) under Loxosceles cubana. RNAcentral describes it as "partial 16S ribosomal RNA". The stretch from base 128 to 429 matches the Rfam family "Bacterial large subunit ribosomal RNA", at positions 2074 to 2646 of the family's 2925-position model. Lineage: Eukaryota; Metazoa; Arthropoda; Arachnida; Araneae; Sicariidae. The record is from RNAcentral.
CCUGUGCUAAGGUAGCAUAAUAAUUUACUUUUUAAUUGAAAGACAGAAUGAAAGGAAAGACGACUCAAUUAUUUUUCCAUAACUUUAUAAUAAAAUUUUCUAAGAUGUAAAAAGACAUUUAUAAAAAAGAAAGACGACAAGACCCUAUAGAAUUUUCACUUAUUAAGUUUAGCUGGGGCAGCUAAUAACUAUAAUUUAUUAAUUCCAAAAUAAUAAAGACCUAAAAUUUUUAAAAAAUAAAUCAAAUUACCUUAGGGAUAACAGCGCAAUUCUAUUCUAAAGCACUAAUAAAAUAUAGAAAUUACGACCUCGAUGUUGAAUUAAUUUAACUUUAUUAAGUAAUAAUAAUAAGAGUAAGUCUGUUCGACUUUUAAAAGAUUACAUGAUUUGAGUUCAGACCGGUGAAAACCAGGUCAGAUUCUAUCUUCUUUAACUUAACUACAGUACGAAAGGACCUAAUUAUAAAUCACAU